This is a small nucleolar RNA of Suncus etruscus (white-toothed pygmy shrew), 210 nucleotides long. RefSeq annotates it as small nucleolar RNA U3. Lineage: Eukaryota; Metazoa; Chordata; Mammalia; Eulipotyphla; Soricidae. The record is from RefSeq and is a predicted model, not a curated record. The transcript has a single exon.
UCACCCUGACUUUGCAUCCUGCAGCCCGCAGGUAAAUUGAGUUUGAGACCCCUGGUGUAGAGCAUCUGAAGCCACAAGGAGGAGCCAGAGCGUCCUCUCCUGAGUGUGAAGCCGGCUCUAGAUGUUGCUUCUGUGACUGCCUCUUCCCAUUGAUGAUCGUUCUCCCUUUCCUCUGGAAAGGGUAGAGGGAGAGGAUGCAGUCUGAGUGGU